Non-coding RNA from Cinara cedri, 335 nucleotides. Lineage: Eukaryota; Metazoa; Arthropoda; Insecta; Hemiptera; Aphididae. The record is from the annotation of a GenBank genome assembly.
ACGACGACGACAACGUGAGCCGUGACACGGUUUGAUCUUUUUUAUUUUAACCCGCUCAAUAGGAUGCCACCCAGUCGGUCGACGGCUGUCAACGAUAUCCGCGUCCUCCGCGGAAUAUCGCCGUCUCUCCGGGUCCUGGUCUGAUGAUAAAUCGCUUGUCGACGACGGCGUCCCGUUUAGGAGCCGCGUGGUCUGUCGAUCGUAAACUGUCCUGAUUUUCACCCGCCAAUGAAGUAUAACGGUGCGUACCACGUAGACCGUCGUCUAGAAGUCGGGGCGGAUGCUUCGCGACCCUAUAAGCCCGACCGGAAGAUGUGGCGGUGGCGAAACCGAUG